This 1352-nucleotide long non-coding RNA is filed under the name Felis catus (domestic cat). Its description in RNAcentral is "lncRNA (ENSFCAG00000052582.1)". The record is from RNAcentral. Lineage: Eukaryota; Metazoa; Chordata; Mammalia; Carnivora; Felidae.
GCUGGAAUCCCAGCUUUGACAUUUAUUAGCUUUGGGACCUUAGGCGAUUUUUGUCACCUCUCCGUGCCUUUGCAUUCUCGUCUAUAAAACGGAGAAAAUAAUUAUGUCUAUUAAACGGUAUAGGUGUAAGAGUUAAGUAAGGCACACGGUGAGUGCCUGACACUAGCAGGUGCUUUGUAAAUGCUUUCCGAAUAAAACAAAAGGAACAACUGUCUUCUAAAUUCAAGUUCUUGUAAAUAGUGUAUAAACUGAAUUGGAAUCUUUUGUUAGGUCCUAUGUCUACUGCUCCCUUCAACUUUAAAGGGAAAACGAUGAACCAGCUACAUCGCCACCAGCGUAUUUACCCCCAAAGACAUACACGUUUUCCUGGAUUCUGAUCAAUGGAGAUGAGAAUUGCCUGAUGUCCAGCCUGCUCUGUGUGCAAAUGCAAAAUGCACACCUUGCUUUCUUUUUGGUUCCCUCUCAGUUUGUGUUUCUGGCUACAGCGGAACAGAUGGAGUUUAGAGAAUCUUCUGACCAAGGCAACGUGGACUCCGCAUUUUCAAGCGAUGUUGCCGGGCACCAGAGCCGGGGUUAACUGUGCGAUGGAAGGCUUCUCACUCCAGUGCUCUGUUCUAAGUGCGAUUCAGCCCCACUCCAAGGAUUGCUUUUCUCUCUUCUGUUACUUUCUGGAGAGCCAGAAAUGAGGAUAUCGUGGCACAAAUCCGUAUAAAAAAUAGGUAUAGUUAACCAAAACACCAUCCUUAUAUUAUCUACGAAAUCACUUUGGUUGUUCUUCCUGAUAUGGAAUUAGCAGACUUCAAUGAGCAUAAGGAAAAAGCUGAAUAGGCCUCCUCUCUGGUUCACGUGCACAUGAAGUUCUUUGCUAACGGAUCCUUUCUAGUGGUGCUCAGAACUAAGCCUCAUAAUUCAAUCUAAGCACAAUGAGCUGCAACACGGAGUGAAUCAUUACUUGUGAGAAAGGCUCUGACUGUGUCUGUAAAACUGCCCCUCGUACUCUCUCAUUAUGCUUUCCUCCCCCCCUCCUCAUUGCUUUGCCAGUGUAUUGAUUCGUAUUUUUUUUUAAUUUCUAUUUUCUUUUCCUUCUGUUUGUUCCACUUUCUGUCCUUAUUUUCCUAACUGCAGCAGAAACUCAACCCACUCCCCUGUGAGGGAUGGAGUCCCUUAAUGAAACAAUUGGCGAUAAGGAGCUGGGCUCCUCACACACUGUCAAUAACUAUCUUUGAAGUUUAAAGGAGAAGCAUGAACCUUGUCAGCUCGGAGGAGCCAACUCACUUUGUAAUUUAAGCGGAGCAGUUCGACCCAUCUAUUGGAGGCAGUGGGAGAGGGGGAGGCUUGACCCACUUCACAUU